This 435-nucleotide ribosomal RNA is filed under the name Zelomorpha sp. 11 NL-2005. Its description in RNAcentral is "partial 28S ribosomal RNA". Lineage: Eukaryota; Metazoa; Arthropoda; Insecta; Hymenoptera; Braconidae. The record is from RNAcentral.
UAAAAGUUCGAAAAGAGAGAUUCAACGUCAGCAUGUGUAGUAUUGACGUGAGUAGUGAUGUCAGUUUUAUUGGUUGGGUCAAACCAAACAAUCAAGAUUGGCACAUUUUCAUGUUAUUUUUAUUGCUAUACAACUGUCGGCGUGCACUUCUCUCUUAGUAGGACGUCCCGACCCGUUGAGUCUUAGCCUACGGCCCAAAAGGAUGCCUUUAAUAUUUUUAUAUUAAAAUCCUUUGGUGUCUCCUGGCCUAAGUGCUCGACGGUAAAAUGAUUUGGUAUUAAGCCGCAAUUUAUUGUGCGUCCGGCCUGCCGCAAGUUUAUUGACAAUUUCUGCACACAUAGACUAUGUCCUAAGUGUAUGGUAUUGUUGGCUGUUUGCAUGACAAUACUCUUGGACUGGCUUAAUAUAUACCUGUCAGGGACGCUUAGGCUUUGG